This 22-nucleotide microRNA is filed under the name Ascaris suum (pig roundworm). RNAcentral's name for it is "asu-miR-5350b-3p". Lineage: Eukaryota; Metazoa; Nematoda; Chromadorea; Rhabditida; Ascarididae. The record is from miRBase by way of RNAcentral.
UUUGGCACACCUAAGGAGCACU